This 799-nucleotide ribosomal RNA is filed under the name Rossbeevera westraliensis. RNAcentral describes it as "eukaryotic LSU rRNA". The stretch from base 666 to 799 matches the Rfam family "Eukaryotic large subunit ribosomal RNA", at positions 1 to 134 of the family's 3401-position model. The record is from RNAcentral. Lineage: Eukaryota; Fungi; Basidiomycota; Agaricomycetes; Boletales; Boletaceae.
AAUUGCGAUACGUAAUGUGAAUUGCAGAUUUUCAGUGAAUCAUCGAAUCUUUGAACGCACCUUGCGCCCCUUGGUAUUCCGAGGGGCAUGCCUGUUUGAGUGUCAUUUAAUUAUCAACCAAUUUAGUCUUUGAUUAGACUUUUUUGGAUUGGAGUUGGGAAUUGAUGGUCUUAACAAAGGAUCAGCUGUCCUUAAAUGCAGUAGCAAGUGAAAGUAAUUUUACGUGGCACGGCCUUUGACGUGAUAAUGAUCGUUGUGGGCUUGGAAGCGUUUAAUUAAGCUAGUAGUUUGCUUUUAAUUAUAUAACGAGUGAAUUUCUAUGUGCAUACGGCUGGAAAGCAUUAGUAAUGGAAGCUUGAGCGGAAAGUAAGCUAUGUUGUAAAAGGCAUAGUAAAUGUGGAAGCUUGAGUGAAAGUGAGAAUGUGUAGUAGGCUGGAAGGGCAUAGCAUUGAAGCUAGUUAAACAAGGAAUUGAAAAAUAACCUGUGGAAUAUUUCUAUGUGCAUACGGCUGGAGAAAACAUUAGUAAUGGAAGCUCUUAGUGUAAAGUGAACUCAUGGGUUCCAUGAUAGUAAUGAAAAGCUUUGAGUGAAAGUGAGGAUGUGUAGUAGGCUGGAAGCAUAGUUAUUGAGAAACUAGUGAAAAAGUAAAUUCCGACUUGAAAGUUGACCUCAAAUCAGGUAGGAGUACCCGCUGAACUUAAGCAUAUCAAUAAGCGGAGGAAAAGAAACUAACAAGGAUUCCCCUAGUAACUGCGAGUGAAGCGGGAAAAGCUCAAAUUUUGAAUCUGGCAGUCAUCA